UACGUAGGUGGCAAGCGUUGUCCGGAGUUACUGGGUGUAAAGGGCGUGUAGGCGGGAAGAUAAGUCAGAUGUGAAAAUUCCAUGGCUCAACUGUGGCGCUGCAUCUGAAACUAUUUUUUCUUGAGUGAUGGAGAGGAAAAGCGGAAUUCCUAGUGUAGCGGUGAAAUGCGUAGAUAUUAGGAGGAACACCAGUGGCGAAGGCGGCUUUCUGGACAUUAACUGACGCUG
RNAcentral lists this ribosomal RNA (228 nucleotides) under uncultured bacterium. RNAcentral's name for it is "partial 16S ribosomal RNA". It matches the Rfam family "Bacterial small subunit ribosomal RNA", at positions 524 to 748 of the family's 1533-position model. The record is from RNAcentral.